AUACGUAGGUGGCGAGCGUUGUCCGGAAUUACUGGGUGUAAAGGGCGUGUAGGCGGGGAUGCAAGUCAGGUGUGAAAUACCGAGGCUUAACUUCGGGGCUGCAUCUGAAACUGUAUUUCUUGAGUGUCGGAGAGGAAAGCGGAAUUCCCAGUGUAGCGGUGAAAUGCGUAGAUAUUGGGAGGAACACCAGUGGCGAAGGCGGCUUUCUGGACGACAACUGACGCUGAGGCGCGAAAGCGUGGGGAGCAAACAGGAUUAGAUACCCUGGUAGUCCACGCCGUAAACGAUGGAUACUAGGUGUAGGAGGUAUCGACCCCUUCUGUGCCGGAGUUAACACAAUAAGUAUCCCACCUGGGGAGUACGGCCGCAAGGUUGAA
RNAcentral lists this ribosomal RNA (377 nucleotides) under uncultured bacterium. RNAcentral describes it as "bacterial SSU rRNA". It matches the Rfam family "Bacterial small subunit ribosomal RNA", at positions 523 to 898 of the family's 1533-position model. The record is from RNAcentral.